RNAcentral lists this ribosomal RNA (493 nucleotides) under uncultured bacterium. RNAcentral's name for it is "partial 16S ribosomal RNA". It matches the Rfam family "Bacterial small subunit ribosomal RNA", at positions 28 to 508 of the family's 1533-position model. The record is from RNAcentral.
GAUGAACGCUAGCUACAGGCUUAACACAUGCAAGUCGAGGGGAAACGCCAUCGAAAGCUUGCUUUUGAUGGGCGUCGACCGGCGCACGGGUGAGUAACGCGUAUCCAACCUGCCUAUCACUUGUGCAUAACCCUGCGAAAGUAAGACUAAUACCCAAUGACAUCCCACGAAGACAUCGGAAUGGGAUUAAAGAUUUAUCGGUGAUGGCUGGGGAUGCGUCUGAUUAGCUUGUUGGCGGGUUAACGGCCCACCAAGGCAACGAUCAGUAGGGGGUCUGAGAGGAAGGUGCCCCGCAUUGGAACUGGGACACCGUCCAACCUCUUACGGGACGCAGCUGUGAGGACUGUUCGUCAAGGGGCGUGAGCCUGAACCAGCCAAGUCACGAUGCGGAUGCCGGCCGUGUGGGUUGUAAACUGCUUUUAUGAGGACAUAAAUUGGGUCUCGUGAAACUUUUUGCAUGUUCCUUAUGAAUGAGGUCCGGCUAAUUCCGUGC